UACGGAGGAUGCAAGCGUUAUCCGGAUUCAUUGGGUUUAAAGGGUGCGCAGGUGGGUUUGUAAGUCAGUGGUGAAAUGCUGCCGCUUAACGGUAGAAUUGCCAUUGAUACUGCGAGUCUUGAGUAUGGUUGAGGUAGGCGGAAUGUGUUGUGUAGCGGUGAAAUGCAUAGAUAUGACACAGAACGCCGAUUGCGAAGGCAGCUUACUAAGCCAUUACUGACGCUGAGGCACGAAAGCGUGGGGAGCGAACAGGAUUAGAUACCCUGGUAGUCCACGCUGUAAACGAUGUUCACUCGCUGUUUGCGAUACACAGCAAGCGGCUUAGCGAAAGCAUUAAGUGAACCACCUGGGGAGUACGAUCGCAAGGUUGAA
Molecule: ribosomal RNA, 372 nt
Filed under: uncultured bacterium
Lineage: Bacteria
Description: bacterial SSU rRNA
Rfam family: Bacterial small subunit ribosomal RNA
Source: RNAcentral